AUUGAACGCUGUGCGGCAGGCCUAACACAUGCAAGUCGAGCGGUAGCACAGAGAGCUUGCUCUCGGGUGACGAGCGGCGGACGGGUGAGUAAUGUCUGGGAAACUGCCUGAUGGAGGGGGAUAACUACUGGAAACGGUAGCUAAUACCGCAUAACGUCGCAAGACCAAAGUGGGGGACCUUCGGGCCUCAUGCCAUCAGAUGUGCCCAGAUGGGAUUAGCUAGUAGGUGGGGUAAUGGCUCACCUAGGCGACGAUCCCUAGCUGGUCUGAGAGGAUGACCAGCCACACUGGAACUGAGACACGGUCCAGACUCCUACGGGAGGCAGCAGUGGGGAAUAUUGCACAAUGGGCGCAAGCCUGAUGCAGCCAUGCCGCGUGUGUGAAGAAGGCCUUCGGGUUGUAAAGCACUUUCAGCGGGGAGGAAGGCGGUGAGGUUAAUAACCUCAUCGAUUGACGUUACCCGCAGAAGAAGCACCGGCUAACUCCGUGCCAGCAGCCGCGGUAAUACGGAGGGUGCAAGCGUUAAUCGGAAUUACUGGGCGUAAAGCGCACGCAGGCGGUCUGUCAAGUCGGAUGUGAAAUCCCCGGGCUCAACCUGGGAACUGCAUUCGAAACUGGCAGGCUAGAGUCUUGUAGAGGGGGGUAGAAUUCCAGGUGUAGCGGUGAAAUGCGUAGAGAUCUGGAGGAAUACCGGUGGCGAAGGCGGCCCCCUGGACAAAGACUGACGCUCAGGUGCGAAAGCGUGGGGAGCAAACAGGAUUAGAUACCCUGGUAGUCCACGCCGUAAACGAUGUCGAUUUGGAGGUUGUGCCCUUGAGGCGUGGCUUCCGGAGCUAACGCGUUAAAUCGACCGCCUGGGGAGUACGGCCGCAAGGUUAAAACUCAAAUGAAUUGACGGGGGCCCGCACAAGCGGUGGAGCAUGUGGUUUAAUUCGAUGCAACGCGAAGAACCUUACCUGGUCUUGACAUCCACAGAACUUUCCAGAGAUGGAUUGGUGCCUUCGGGAACUGUGAGACAGGUGCUGCAUGGCUGUCGUCAGCUCGUGUUGUGAAAUGUUGGGUUAAGUCCCGCAACGAGCGCAACCCUUAUCCUUUGUUGCCAGCGGUCCGGCCGGGAACUCAAAGGAGACUGCCAGUGAUAAACUGGAGGAAGGUGGGGAUGACGUCAAGUCAUCAUGGCCCUUACGACCAGGGCUACACACGUGCUACAAUGGCAUAUACAAAGAGAAGCGACCUCGCGAGAGCAAGCGGACCUCAUAAAGUAUGUCGUAGUCCGGAUUGGAGUCUGCAACUCGACUCCAUGAAGUCGGAAUCGCUAGUAAUCGUAGAUCAGAAUGCUACGGUGAAUACGUUCCCGGGCCU
This 1362-nucleotide ribosomal RNA is filed under the name uncultured bacterium. RNAcentral describes it as "bacterial SSU rRNA". It matches the Rfam family "Bacterial small subunit ribosomal RNA", at positions 28 to 1381 of the family's 1533-position model. The record is from RNAcentral.